RNAcentral lists this ribosomal RNA (207 nucleotides) under uncultured bacterium. Its description in RNAcentral is "partial 16S ribosomal RNA". It matches the Rfam family "Bacterial small subunit ribosomal RNA", at positions 568 to 774 of the family's 1533-position model. The record is from RNAcentral.
UCCGCAGGUGGUGGGGCAAGUCGGCGGUUAAAGACUGGGGCUUAACUCCAGAAAGGCCGUGGAAACUGCACCACUAGAGGGCAGUAGGGGUAGAGGGAAUUCCCGGUGUAGCGGUGAAAUGCGUAGAGAUCGGGAAGAACACCAGUGGCGAAAGCGCUCUACUGGACUGCAACUGACACUGAGGGACGAAAGCUAGGGGAGCGAAUG